This 2891-nucleotide long non-coding RNA is filed under the name Olea europaea subsp. europaea. Lineage: Eukaryota; Viridiplantae; Streptophyta; Magnoliopsida; Lamiales; Oleaceae. The record is from RNAcentral.
CAAAACGUCAAAAAAUGACGUUUUGAGCAUUUUCAAGCCAAAACACGCAGAACAUGAACACACGGGAAACGGUCCAUUUUCCCCAAAAUUCUGCAUCUUUUUCUUGAGCUACCAAUCCUUCGCCUCUCUUCAUCAAUAACAACCACCACCCGCCCCCAAGCCGCCGGACCCAUACACCAUCGGCACCUCCUCACCUUGCUCUACAACCUCCGACCAUCGCCUGCCUACUAGACCGCUGGAAACAGCACUAAUCCCAAUCCAAAACCGUGAGUGUAGUCACGAUUUUUCCUCAUUUACUUUCACAUCCGGCGACCCUCUCGAUCGUGGAGCACCACCACAACAUUCUUCUCAACUAGGCGCAUCUAGUUCUACCAUAGGUCACCCACAAUUUCGUCCAGAAAUCGGGUGAGCUUAUUGGAGUAGAAUCAAAUUUGGGGGUUGGAAAAAUGUAAGUUCUCUUCAUUUUUUAUCGGCUGGAUUUGUGAAUUACACAAGUUUGGGAAACUUUGAUGUGUGAAAUCUGUUUGUUGGUUUUGGUCUUGGGUUCUAGACCUGAGUUUGGGUCUAAUGUUGUUUUUGCUGAAUAUGGGAUACAUUUUAAUCUGAGUUGGAAUAGAUGUUACUGAUGCAAGACGUAACAUAGAGAGGAAAAGACAUAAAUAGAAAGAAAAUAGGAAGAAAUCCGUAUUAAAAAUCAAUAUAAUCAGUAAUAGUCUCAAUACAAUGAAAUCCUGUGCCCUAUUCCUUAAAGAAUUUAUAUGUAAAGGAACUUCAUAGUCCAAGUGUGUCCUAUUCCUUAAAGAAUUGGUUAUUGCACUUUGUCCAGUGUAUAAAUUCUCGUUUGCAUUUGUUUAUUUUUAUUUUUUUUUCAUUCUUCAUCUUUGUACUCAAUUCAUUCUCGAAAUUUUUUUAUUACUUCGAACUUGCAUAUAGCUUAACUGCAUCCUACGGCUCCUUAAUGUUCAUACCAUUAGUCAAUAUCUUUGUCCUGAGUUCAUAGUAUUGAUGAAGAUAACAUCUCAAAGAUUUCAAGUGGGCAAAAGGAACUUCCUUUUGCACUUUGGCCUGGUUGGUCGCUUAUUCUCCCUUGAUUAUCCUAAUUGAUUUAUAACAAAUUUAAAAAAAGAAAAAAAAUAUAUCAACGAAUUUUAAUUUCCAAUAUGUUGCUGCACAUUUCACAUGUCAAGGAGACGAGGUUAUUUUUACGUUUUAACAUCUUAUUGUUUACUGAGGUCCAAGCCAAAAGAAUAUCAUGCUUCUUUUGCACAUUUCAAUUCAUUGAAACCAUAAAACAGAUUUCUAGGACCCCUUAUGGACUUCUCAGAAUGGCUUCCUAAGUUCUUAUUAAUUUGCUAAAGCCUGUAAUUCCUCGUAACAAUCACUUUUUACCUUCUAAUUUCAUUAGAACUACUUAUGAGUUUCUCUUUCUUCUGGUGUAAAUGAUUUUUAAAUGGCAGUUCAUGGAAGAGUGAAUGCUAUUGGUACACGUCAGGUCCACUGGGGGGAUGAGGCAUUGGGAUGUAAUGAAUACAUAAGAUAAUCAGAGGUUCUGUGAACAUAAGUUAAAGCUUUCAUGAGUAUAAAUUCUGAAACUUCUUUUUCUUUCCUGGGAGCUUUUGAAAAUUUGUUUAACAUUGGAGUUAUUAGUUUUCAGUGGUUGGCUUAUGGAUGGACAGGUUAUUAUUUUGUUUAUGAACUGUAUGAAGUGCAUAUAAUGGUAAUAUCGUUUGGCUUUAUGCUUGUUGGUAGUGUUGCAUGUUAGAAUCAUGGGGCUAGCACGAUAGCUAUGAUCAAGUCAAUGAGUUAUUGUGGACUGAGCUUCGGGCUUUAUACCGGAAACAAGGCUUGAACUCUAUAAGCUGAGCUUGGACGAACCUGAUCCUGAGCAUGUAAAGUCUAUAGAAUGAGUAAUUACUGGAUUGGUAUUGCUGUUGUGCAUUUGCUUAUUUCUAGAAUGAGUCGCUUGGUUCCUUUCUAGUUGGGCUUGGAUUAAUGUCGUUGAGUUUGUUGACCACACUAUCCUGUCUAAUAUAUUUAAGUAAUUCUAAUUUACUUCAAACUAUAGGCCUGGGCCAUUGAGAAUAUAUAAUUUGGUUCUGCCUCACCAGAAUAUGAUUGCUUUUUGAAAAUUUUUAUGCAAUAGCAUGUUGAAGAUAUAAAUAUCGAUAAGUUCUUCUUAUCUCUACUAGCAUAAGCUGUCGUUUAUUUCAACAUGGGUUCAUGUUUUACCGCCAAGCAUUUAUGUCAAGCCUUUGACGGGAAGGGGCUUGUUGGAUGUAUUAAUUAAUUCACUAAUUCCUAUGUAUCCUUUUAGAUGAGUUAUUGAUUAAAUAUAUUGUAAAAUCAUAUAUUUCAAACUCUUGCUUGGUGAAACCAUCAUCGUUUAGUCUGUGUCUUUUCAAUUUCAUCUUCCAUUUGCAACUCAAAAGAUGGAUCUUCCAUUUGUAAUUUGAUCUUAUGUAUGUUGUUAUUCUCUUUUGGAGUUUGACAAUCAUCUUUCAUUUCUUUUUAUACAUGUUAUGAGUUCUCUAUCUAGCAGGUUCGCAUGUGGCAAUGAGAUUCAAGGAAUAGGACAAUAUUGCAACCUACGCCAGUGGCGGCUAUUGGUGUUAGUUAACAUUGUUUGAGCACUGUACCUUUUAUUAUUAUACAUCCAAAAAAAAAAAAAAAGGAAUAGAGAGGAUGUUAAUUUUUUGGAUAUGAUCUUGAUUGUGAGUAUAAUAGCAUUAAAUGUGUUAUUUGCCUCAAAAGAACUAUAGACUUUUAAAGUAAUUUGUACGCUUGAGAUUUCAAUCAAGACAAAUUUUGUAUUUCACGAACAUGUUUCAUAUUAUUGAAUUUCGAUUUAUGUUUAUGUUUCGAUUGGUUUGGUCAUUCUGUAUUUAUGCACG